UUACCUCCAUUGCACGUGCUCUUGGGCUAGACACUGAGCUAGCUACAUUAGAACCACUCCCACCUCGCACAGUAAAUUUAAAAUUUUUGAGAGAUAUGAGAUUGUGCAAGGAAAGGAAAGACGAAGGCUACAUCCUCAUUGUUCAUAAUGUAGCUAUCUCGAGUGUUGUUUUUCCGUGCUCUCUUCGUACAUAUGUGCGACUUCAAAGAAACCUGACUUUUGAUUUACAGGCUGCGUCUUUUCUCGGUCCACCACCAU
This 258-nucleotide long non-coding RNA is filed under the name Lathyrus oleraceus (garden pea). Its description in RNAcentral is "Pisum sativum (pea) long non-coding RNA (PSAT_LNC034641)". The record is from RNAcentral. Lineage: Eukaryota; Viridiplantae; Streptophyta; Magnoliopsida; Fabales; Fabaceae.